RNAcentral lists this unclassified non-coding RNA (215 nucleotides) under Hevea brasiliensis (rubber tree). The record is from RNAcentral. Lineage: Eukaryota; Viridiplantae; Streptophyta; Magnoliopsida; Malpighiales; Euphorbiaceae.
AGGACUUCAAAUAUUCGUUAUGCAAUCUUGUCAUAAAUGACACCUUCAUCAUCGAAGCCCUUUCCUUCAGAAGCAAAUCAGAAAGAUCCAUUUGUCCAGAGGCACCAGCAAUUAAUAGUUUGAUUCUGUUUUCUCUGAAAUGGGUAGAACCAGUCCUUCAACCCAAAAACAUCCUCAUUGAACAUUGAGCUUUUAGGCCUUUGGCAAGGCAAAAG